AAUUCUUAAACUGGGAAGAAUGAAAAAGCACAUUAAUUAUUGAUCUGUAUUAUUAUUUAAAAAAAAAAAAAAAAAAAAAGCUAAUAUGAAGUUUAAGAAUACUAAAGCUUUCAGUGUUAUAAUGUAAUAUGAGAUAUACAUAACAAUUUAAUAUAUAUUACUGUAUUAUCUCUUUUCCAGAAAUUCAUCCUUUUUCUUGGCACAAUAACAUUAUUAGUGGGCGCAAUCACAGUCCAGGCUAGUCACCAUAUUGCAUAGUUGACGAGCUGCCUGUAGCAGAUAAAAUGAAACUGGAAAUCUUAUAUGGGAAUUGGGAUGGGGCUGGAGUACUGCAGCCUCUAGAAUGAACUGGAGCUGGGAGGAACUGAUGACUUAAAAGUAUUUUAUUAUAAACUUACAGCACCUUAGCACAGGCUCAUAAUGUUCCUGUACAGGGGUGGGUGUAACGUGUUAAUGCAAUAGUAUAAUUACAUUACAUUUUUCUGUAACGUAGUAAUAUACCACAUUACUGUACUAAAUUCAGUAAUCAAAGUAUUGUUAAGGUUAUUUAUGUGUAGUUUUAUACUUGCGUUACAAAUGUUCUGUAGUUAUCUGCACAUAAAGUGGAUAGAAAUGUAAAAACAUCAAACAAACAUGCUAAUAAAGCUUUUUAUUAUUCCUGUGCAAUCAACUGAUUUUAAUUUGUGUGCAGGAGAAGGCAAAUGUUGGCCAAAUGUGGAACUUUGUAGGAAUAUCGACAUUACUUUUACUUUUUAAUUUAUUUUUUAUUGCAAAAAACAAAAGGAGCAUGACGGCAAAGUGCAAACUGCAACAGAAGCUGAGUGAAUACUGACCCCCGCUCAGCAGCCAGAGCCUGAAUUUCAACAGCUGAUUACUGCACUACUUAGAUGGCGAGUCUGCACUAGUCUUCGCUGGAUCGUUGAACUAUCAGCAUCGUUUUUGGAACCGGAUUCUGAGAGGAGUGACUGAGGAGGAGCUUUUGUACAGAAAGUGUGGAGCACCUUUUCCCCUAACCCUGUUUCCCACGGACCCUGGCGACCCGGACCCGUUUCCCCUGCACAUUGUACAUAGCCACUUGGUGAUUGUGUUCACUGUGAAUAAACGCACUGUUCUUCGCUUAAAGGGAAACCCUGGCCUGCGCCUGAGUCUCUUUCGGAACCCCUAACAGUGUCAUUCCCCCUGUGUUUUGUUCAUUUCCCUGAGGUGGAGUUAGGAAUUUCCUGUUUCGCUUUGAAGGUCUGUGUCUGUUAUCACUGUGUUCAGCUUGUAUAUAGUGGGUGUCGGUCUGUGCUAUUUGUCGACUUGUUUGCGUUUCAUGGUGUUUUGUUCUUUGGUCUGCGUCCCUCAGCCCUUCUCCCCGUUUUAUUAUGAUUUCAGGUUUGCUCUUUAGUUUUCCCAGUUUAGGUUUCUUCAGUAGCUUCUCAUGUCUCAUUGCCUGUCUUUGUCACUCUGCCACUUGAAAAUAAACUCUCAUUCAUAUCAUCAGUCGUUGCCUGCAUUUUGGGUUCUUUUCCUCCAACACCACACAGCUUGCCCUGGCAACAGUGACAGAUAGGGAUUUAUGUAGUAUUUACAUGCUUGCCAACCUUGAGACCUCAGAAUUAGGGAGACAUUCAAAAGGGCUGU
Long non-coding RNA from Astatotilapia calliptera (eastern happy), 1626 nucleotides. Lineage: Eukaryota; Metazoa; Chordata; Actinopteri; Cichliformes; Cichlidae. The record is from Ensembl.